Long non-coding RNA from Drosophila sulfurigaster albostrigata, 1626 nucleotides. RefSeq lists it as uncharacterized. The record is from RefSeq and is a predicted model, not a curated record. The transcript has 2 exons. NCBI's taxonomy places the organism in Eukaryota, Metazoa, Arthropoda, Insecta, Diptera, Drosophilidae.
AAACAUAAACUAAAACAGUUUUAAAAAUAAAUGAAGGUUAUUCUUAAAGCUUUGGAUUGACACUAUUUUUAGAGCUAAGAUUGAUUUUAGAAACUUGCUCUGUUUUACGAUAAAAUAUAUAAAUUCGUUCAUUUUUUGGUUUUGCGUACGAAUUUGUUAAUUUGGAAUUGGAAUUAUCAGAACAGAAAGAAGAUUCCAAAACCAUUCUUAGCUCUAAUUAAAGUACUUAUCUAGAGCUAUUAAAAUCACCUUUUCUUAUUUUUAAAAUUGUUUCAGGUUAUAGAAUUACCCAUAUACAUAAGGUUGUUGUGGUUUUACUUUGUUUUUUUUUGUUUGUCUUUUGGCUAAUUAAUGUUGCUGUUUUGAAUGCUCAGAAUUACACAGAAACCGUUUUUGCCAAAUCAUUUGCAGCUGCUUAGAAUUUCCAGAUUUUCAGAUAUUACGGGGGAUUCGUAUUUGUUUUGUAUUUUUUUCGCUUUACAAUGCGGCUAAGUCUUGUCGAGUUUACACAGUUUACAGAGUUUUUUCUUGGAGAUUUGUUGUUUGUUUGUUGGUUUUUCUUUCUUUCUUAUUUAUUGUAUGAUUUUUUGGGACACAAAACAAAAGCAAAAAACAUUGAAACAAAUUGCACUUAUCAUGGGGAGUAGAGUUGUACAUACAAUAUAUAUUCGAAUAUAUUCGAUGAGACUUGUGUAUGAUUUAUUUUCCUUCUCUUUCUAUAUAUCUCGUAUCUCUCUGUCUCUGUCUCUAUCUCCAUGUCUGUCACUAUCUCUAUCUGUCUCUGUCUCUUAAAUCGUCUCAGUCUCAGAGCGCAGCGUAAAAAAUGGUUUUCUGGUUUGGUUAGUAGUACUAUUAUUUUUGUUCUCAGUGCUUACGAGUGAGGAUCGUUACAUGAAAUUAAUUGUUAUUAUUAUUAUUAUUAUAUUUAUAAUGGUAAUCGUAUGCAGUCAUUAUUUUGUUUUUGUUUUUCUUUCUUUUGUUUUGUUUUUUGGUUUUAAAUGGAUAGCAACAAUCUUGUAUUCUCUCUCGCUCAUAUAAUAUUUCGGUUGUUUUGUUUCGUUUUUAGUUGUAUUUUAAAUAGUACUGUAUUGUUUUUUUGUUUUUGCUUUUGUUUGUUAGCUUUUGUGGUUGUGCAGUUGUAUUUUUUGUUUGUUUUUGUUUUAUGCUUAACACAAGUAUUUAUGUUUGCUUUUUGCAUUUAUCAUUUUGCUUAAGUCCUUUGUUUUUGUGUUUUUUUUUUUUUUUUUUGUUGGUUCUCAUAGAAAACGUACAAUAAAAGUUUUUUUUUUUGGUUUUUGGAGCAAAGAAUUAAAAAACAUUUCGAAAAAAGCGUUUUGCAUUUUUGUUUGUUUGUUUUUUUAGUAUUUUUUUUUUGUUCUUGGUUUCUCUCUUCUAUUGUGUUUGUUGUUUAUGUUGUUGCUGUGGUUGCUGCGGCUAGACACAAAUUGUUAACAACAUUUUUGACAUGUUGGAAAACGAGGUAGGAGAUUGUUGUUGUUCUUGUUGUUGUUGUUGAUGUUACUUGUUUUGUCAUUGAAAUAAAACGAUAAUAAAUUAUAAAUAAAAACAGCGCCCGGAUCAAGCGGCUUUUGGUGUUUUCUUAACUUUCAGCAUGAAAAUACAUAA